RNAcentral lists this long non-coding RNA (1006 nucleotides) under Strigops habroptila (Kakapo). RNAcentral's name for it is "lncRNA (ENSSHBG00005000938.1)". Lineage: Eukaryota; Metazoa; Chordata; Aves; Psittaciformes; Psittacidae. The record is from RNAcentral.
AGUCUGACAAACAGCUUUAGUUCUACAACAAAAUAAAUAUUAUAACUCUGAUUUACUCAACAGUGAGACUUGGCUCAAACCACCUAUAGAUAUACAACAUAUGCUGCAUGUCACACCACUUGGAUGCUGUCACUGCGAGUCGUGCAGGAACCAGCCCAAUUUAUUACAAAUACACAGUACAACAUACAGUAAUACAUGCUGGGAUGGGGGCUGUGUGCCCUCACUCCACCUACUCCAUCAAAGCCAGUGGAAACAGCCAAUCUUUAUUGAUAGGGUUUAGUGAUGAAUUCAUGUGUUACAUGCUUCCUGAAGCUCCAGAAAUGAUGAUUGUUGCUACUCGCUGUGCCUCUCAAUAGCAUGUUCUCCCCAAAGUGUACCACAAAAAGCAGUCCAUAGGAAUUGUGGCAUGUAUUGUGGAGCAGGGAUGAAUAUAUGAACACUGAUAGCUGCUGUGUUUUAGACAGUCACGCAGGUCCAGUUAGAACAACCACAUCCCAUUGACUAGAAAGUGAAUUCACCCAUGUGUACUUGUGUAACAGCACUACUUGAUUAUUCCCUGUACCUUGAUUAUACCCUCUCCUUCCUCCUCCUGUAGGUAUCACUUUAAUGUUCUUCCCAAAGGACAAAAAAAUACCAUUUAGCACCCUUAAAGAUCUGUCUCAAGGUAUUUAUAAUGGAGAUGAAAAAGCCAGUUUCAUGCCUGCUUUACAGCUCUUGAACUAAGACAUCUUUGCAUACCACCAACCUCAACAGCAGUGUUACUGGAGCUUGUAGAGACAUCAUGGAUGAUCAACCUGAACAAAAGACCCAGCAACAGACGACAUUGGUUUGAUGCUUCCUGCUGUCCCCAGCAGUGUGUGUUCUCAUCAUCACAAGGAUAUUGUAGUUGAUCAAAACUUGAACACGAUACAAGGGAUGUGUUCCAUUCCCUGCAAACAUUCCAGAACAAGUAUGUGGGCUCCAAUUUGGGCCUUGCUACCAUCUAUUUCUGACACUGUGACACAAC